GACGAACGCUGGCGGCGUGCUUAACACAUGCAAGUCGAACGGAAAGGCCCUGCUUUUGUGGGGUGCUCGAGUGGCGAACGGGUGAGUAACACGUGAGUAACCUGCCCUUGACUUUGGGAUAACUUCAGGAAACUGGGGCUAAUACCGGAUAGGAGCUCCUACUGCAUGGUGGGGGUUGGAAAGUUUCGGCGGUUGGGGAUGGACUCGCGGCUUAUCAGCUUGUUGGUGGGGUAGUGGCUUACCAAGGGUUUGACGGGUAGCCGGCCUGAGAGGGUGACCGGCCACAUUGGGACUGAGAGACGGCCCAGAAUCCUACGGGAGGCAGCAGUGGGGAAUAUUGCACAAUGGGCGGAAGCCUGAUGCAGCAACGCCGCGUGCGGGAUGACGGCCUUCGGGUUGUAAACCGCUUUCGACUGUGACGAAGCGUGAGUGACGGUAAUGGGUAAAGAAGCACCGGCUAACUACGUG
RNAcentral lists this ribosomal RNA (468 nucleotides) under uncultured bacterium. RNAcentral describes it as "partial 16S ribosomal RNA". It matches the Rfam family "Bacterial small subunit ribosomal RNA", at positions 28 to 507 of the family's 1533-position model. The record is from RNAcentral.